GGCCUUAACUCGGUAACAAUUUGCCCUUAUAUUCAUGCUCGCCGGGGCAACCCGGCUAUGGCGAUAAACGGAAGUCGUAAUAAACCAUUCGGACCCGGGGGCAGUACCCGGCGCCUCCACCAAAGCCCGGUUGGGCUUUGGCUAGCUUGGCCAAGUCCUGAGACGGGCUUUGGCGGGGGCGAACUAGGAUCGACGAGGGCGUAAAGGACCUACUUUUGCUCGGCAUGGUUCCGCCGUUAUCGGGCCGAUUUGUAGUUGCAAACGACAACUAUGCUCCGGUUGCUCAGGCUGCGUAAGCGGUUUGAAAAACCAAGACUAGAAGUCCUGGCGGGUUAAGCUCCGUCAGGCGGGGUUCGGAGGCACCUGGCAACAGAAGCCUCCACU
This 384-nucleotide transfer-messenger RNA is filed under the name Pseudolabrys sp. It matches the Rfam family "Alphaproteobacteria transfer-messenger RNA". Rfam says of the family: Bacterial tmRNA, also known as 10Sa RNA or SsrA, is named for its dual tRNA and mRNA-like properties. Its role is to liberate the mRNA from a stalled ribosome. To accomplish this part of the tmRNA is used as a reading frame that ends in a translation stop signal. Lineage: Bacteria; Pseudomonadati; Pseudomonadota; Alphaproteobacteria; Hyphomicrobiales; Xanthobacteraceae. The record is from RNAcentral.